GAUGAACGCUAGCUACAGGCUUAACACAUGCAAGUCGAGGGGAAACGGCAUUAAGUGCUUGCACUUUUUGGACGUCGACCGGCGCACGGGUGAGUAACGCGUAUCAAACCUUCCCAUGACUAAGGGAUAACCUGCCGAAAGGCAGACUAAUACCUUAUGGUCUUCACUGACGGCAUCAGAUGUGAAGUAAAGAUUUAUCGGUUAUGGAUGGGGAUGCGUCUGAUUAGCUUGUUGGCGGGGUAACGGCCCACCAAGGCAACGAUCAGUAGGGGUUCUGAGAGGAAGGUCCCCCACAUUGGAACUGAGACACGGUCCAAACUCCUACGGGAGGCAGCAGUGAGGAAUAUUGGUCAAUGGGCGAGAGCCUGAACCAGCCAAGUAGCGUGCAGGAUGACGGCCCUAUGGGUUGUAAACUGCUUUUGUAUGGGGAUAAAGUCAAUCACGUGUGAUUGUUUGCAGGUACCAUACGAAUAAGGACCGGCUAAUUCCGUG
RNAcentral lists this ribosomal RNA (492 nucleotides) under uncultured bacterium. Its description in RNAcentral is "partial 16S ribosomal RNA". It matches the Rfam family "Bacterial small subunit ribosomal RNA", at positions 28 to 507 of the family's 1533-position model. The record is from RNAcentral.